Scophthalmus maximus (turbot) is the source of this 119-nucleotide ribosomal RNA. The record is from Ensembl. NCBI's taxonomy places the organism in Eukaryota, Metazoa, Chordata, Actinopteri, Pleuronectiformes, Scophthalmidae.
GCUUAAGGCCACACCGCCUGGUUCAAGCCCGAUCUCGUUUGAUCUCAGGAGCUAAGGUAGGUUGGGCCUGGUUAGUACUUGGAUGGGAGACCGCCUGGGAAUACCAGGUGCUGUAAGCU